UCAGGCAGGGACCCAGUGCUGACUUACUGUAUGUGCCCCCUCUGCAGCCCCCAGCAGAAAGCUGAAUCCACAGUAGGCACACAGGAAGUGCUCUGGAAUUGAGUUGGCAGGCUAUUCCAGCCAACCAUGAGUACAUAGCAUUUCCUUUUAUCAUCUAAAAAAUUGUAAGACAUUAUGCCUCAGGUUUUGCAACUGAGAAUGGCAACAGACUAAAAAGGCCUGUUUAGUAAGUUGUAAAGGAGGCACCAGAUGCAUAAUGGCAGGAAAGCUACCAGAACUCCUUCAUUUUGGUGCCAUUUCCCCUUCAUGAUGAUCUGUCAAACUCAUUCAACCUCAUGGCUCUGUUCAUUACCAUACAGAGUUAUUGAGAACGGGGUGCCCAGCACGUGCUAGAUGCUGCAGAGGGCACAAAGCCAGUUCCGAGGCACCUGCUGACGAGCGCUGUUAAGGAAAUCCCGAAUUAACACGAUGCUUUGGGUGUUUGGGGACAGAGCGAUUCCUCUAAGCAGGUGGGUGUUUAUGAAGGAAGCGGCACUGAGCUGGGCCCUAAAGGAUAUACCAGAUCUGACAGGAAGAGAAGGGGACAUGGAGAAAAAAACAUUUCAGGAGGAGAGAACAGAGCAGCCUAAGCAUGGGGGCCAAAAGGUGCAUGGCAUGUUUAGGGGCCCUGAGCACCCCAUGGGUCUAGCAUGUGCGAUAUUGGAGAAGGGCCCUGGAGGUGGGUGGAGGUAAGACAACCCAGGUGGGCAGGCCCAGAUCAUAGCCAGCAGGCUGAGGAGUUUAUACCACCAUGUUGGACCCUGGGGAACCAGCCCACACAGGAUUUGGGGCCGGGGCAAGGGGAGGUGUGCUUCAGGCUGGAAGGCAGGCAUAGGCGGAAGUACCGCAGCCAGCAGCCUGGCAGGACACAGCCGAUGCCUGCCUUCUUUCUCACCUGGGGACCGUCUGCCUUCUCCGCAUUCUGCUCCACCACUUAGCAUCCUUGACAUCCCUUCCACGUGGGGACACAUUACAUAAGGCAUAUACCUCCCUCUUGGUUGUCCUACCUAUACGCUACUCCACACAUCUCAACUGGACAAAGUCAGAGGUUUGGGGUCAUAACUGACCCUGGGAGUACAGAUUUUCAUCUCUGACUCCCCCUCCCUACCCCCAUCAUUAGUGCAGAGAGAGCAAGGAAUGAAACCUAGCUGGAUGACCUCCCAGGCUGACUAUGACAGGAAGCACCCUUUCCACUCAUGGAGAAGAUUAAUGGGACAAAGGCGGGCAGCAGACAAGGAAAAACUGUGAGCACCUGUGACCUCAUGCGUUUGGGUUUCUGCUGGACACAGAGAGGCUGUGGUGACAGCAGGGGCGGGAGGUUGGACGGGGGCAAGGCUGCCUCGCCACCCCGGAGAAAGCAGUGUCCUCCUCUCUGGACCCCGGACACUGGCAGGGUGACCUCAGAGGAGCAGGGCUCACCAGAGAUGGGAACUGGAAUUUGUCAGGAAAGAGAGAAGCUGGUGCUGCAGCACAGGCACACUUGGAAGCUGGUUGGCUGCCCUUCAGCCAUUUUGUGGCUUGUUUUCUCCUGUCUUCCAGCCACAGGCCAUUGUCUCUCCGUCCAGACUCAUUUACUGACUGCCCAGGAGUAAGAGUCUGCCUUCUCCCAAUUUUACAGACCCACAGUCUGGGCUGGGGGCGGCGCACAGUCUGGCAAGGCACAAGGACAAGGCAGGCAUUCAGCCGGCUCUGCGAGGAGUCCCCUGGGCAGCCCCUCCUGCCCUGUCCCUCUCCCAGGCCGUAGGUCCUGCAGCUGAUCCCUCUCAGGUUCACUGAAUUCCAGGAGUGUUUGUAAACACCUCCCACUGCCAGGGUGUGGUGAGAUGACUGCUCUUUCCUCUUAGUCUGCCCCACCUCUAGCUCUGACUGCAAAAGGAAGAGAGUUUCUGUUGGCCUGAGCCUGUGGACAGGGCGCCUGGCAGGUUGGACCGGACAGGGUACCCACCUGUCCCCAGCCCAGAGCAGCAGAGCAGAGGGCGCCCGGACUCCCCGCAGACCCUGCCGAGAUGUGCACUUAGAUCCCCAGCACAGAUUUGCUUUUGGGUGCUGCUGGGAAGGCACCUGCUGGAUAAGUCCCUGGGUAGAGCAGUGCUGGGGCAGGGAGGACGGGCACACAGAGGGAGAGACUUGCACGCCCUGCCAACUACCAGCCACUCUUGCCCCCAGCUCCUCAGUUUCCCCCAACUGCAGAAACACUAACUCAAAAACCACCUCUGGAGGCUCUGGAGGGGCUGACGUGCUAUCCCAAAGGAGGAACAGGAAGGGGCUGGUAAUGGCAGCUUGUCCUUCUCCUUUGCCUCAGUCUCUGGGGUGUGGUGCCAAAGGGCCAGAAACAUGACUCAUUCAGUGGGGCGCUGGCUAAACAGCCCUCUGGCUUCUCCCGGUCCAGCUGCCUCGGCUUCCUGCCCACCCUGCUGACCAAGGAACUACCUUCCAGGUGUAGGCGCUAGCAGCAAGCGCCUUCCACCUUGUGGGGUCAGUGAGUCUGGGAAGCAAGUCCCUGUCAUUGUCCCAGUAGCCGUGACAUUGCGGAGGUUAAAACUCUGGCCACACUGAAGGAGGAUGGUCUCAACAGGCAAAUGGCUAAUCAUUUCCCCUACAAUCCCGUUGACAAUAUUUGUUUAAGAAAGCUUGCAUCAUAGAAACACAAAGGUAUUAUCUUGCCAAUGUGUGAAGUCAGUUCAGAGAAAGUCCUUGAGUCCUGCGAGUCAAAGUCUGUAGAGCAUGUGUGCCCCUCGCCUUCCCACUCGGUGCCCAAAGCCUUCGUGCCUCUCCCAUUCAGAGCCGCUCCUUGCUUCCUGGAUUCUUCCUUGUACUCUGAUUCAGCACUUGUUUUAUUCACUUCUAAGAAGCUCAAGGGCAGGAAAUGGGGGCUUCACAUUUCUAGCACCCCAAGUCCUUGCAAAUAGAAGGCACUUCAAGUAGAAGAGACGUAACUGACUUUUAGGUCUUCAGCUUUAGUCCGUUCAGUCCCAGCUACCACUGCCUUUAGCAUCACCGUGUAAUAGCCAUCUUUUUAAAAUAUAAGGUUUACUUCUUCUUAUUAUUAUUAAAGAAAUAUGUGUUCAUUGUAGAUGCAAGUCAUACUCCACCUUUCCAGAGACAGUUUCAUGGCACAUGGAGGAACGCAGGAGUUUGGAGUGUUUCUUCCUCCUGGAAUUGUCUCACCUUUCUCUCCCUGGCCUCUCCCAUAUUAGCUGUGAGCCUCCACUUCCUCAGCUGCUGGGUCCCUGGACACAGACCCACCACAGCAAAGCUGGGAGGGGUGGGCGAGAGCGACCCAUAGGGCAUCCACUCCUCUUCCCUUCUGAUCACAGCACAUGGCACAUGGCUAAGGAGUGCGUAGACUUUAUCUUCCCCUUCACCUAUUUCACCCCUACCUCCACCUCCCUCCCCUCUGGCAACCACCUGUCAGUAUCUGUGAGUUUGUUUCUGUUUUGUUUGUUUGUUUUGCUUUUUUAGAUUCCACAUAAAAGUGAGAUAACAUGGUACUUAUCAUUCUCUCUGUGACCUGUUUCACUUAGCAUAACACCCCCUAGGUUAUCCAUGUUGCCACAAAUGGCAAGAGUCCAUUCUUUUUAUGGCCCAGUAAUAUUCCAUUGUAUACAUAUGUACCACAUUUUCUUUAUCAUUCAUCUAUCAGGGAACAUUUAGGUUGCCUCCAUAUCUUAGCUGUUAUAAAUAAUAUUGUUAUAUUACAAAUCAUAUUGUUAUUAUAAAUAAUGCUGUGAUAAACAGGGUGCAUAUAUAUUUUCAGAUUAGUGAUUUUGUUUUCUUUGGGGAAAUUCUAAGAAGUAGACUUGCUGGGUCACAUUUUUAGUUUUUUGAGAAACCUCCAUGCUGCUUUCCAUAGUAGCUGAGUAUGCUGACUUUUGACCCUAAGGAAUCAUAAUGUAGGCCUGGAAGCUUAAAGCCCUACCCAGCACUUGCCAGUUUACAAAGUUUAAGGAGGAACACAGAAUAAAGCUCCUUGCGUAGGGGUCCCCUUUAGGAAGAAAACACCAGAUUCUCACCAGGGUCCUUCUUAAGGGCCCUCUUCUCCCCUGUCCCUAUAGUCCCUCUUGUGAAUCUCCAUCCAUCUUCAGGAAAUCCUAUCCUUUACCCUCCCUAGGAUGCACAGCACCUUUCGUAAGUGUGCGUCAGUUAUCCUGGGGUAACAUUUCCUAUCACCACCCCAACCCCCCCCACCCCAGGUUUGGGGGACACCUUUAGCAGAGAAGGCCAGUGGCACUAAAUUCUUAUAGAACAGUUCGGGGACCAAUUACACAAUAGCCCAUUCUGUGGCAUGAUUGGGUCCUCCAAUUCAAGUUUUCUUCAAAGCCCAUUCAACUAAAAAAUAUAUAUAUAUAUCCCCAAAACAAACAUUCCUGAGAAAUGGUACCACCUAAACCCCUAACGAUAAAGAAAAUACUGUUAUAUUCAUAAUUUGUAAUAAACGUGUAUUGAAACCUAGUAUAUACAGAAAAUAGAAGAAAAACGUGUAACAUUUUUUAGAAACAAACUUUGUUACAGCAUUAUAGCAUAGCUAUAAUAAAAGAAAUGUGUAAAGGAAAAUAUACUAUAAACAUUAUAUGCAGAAAAGUGUAUAGAAGAGUCAGCUUGGUGAAUUUUCACCACCCAGAUCUAGAAACAGAACAGUGUCUGCACCUGUAGAAAUAGCCCUUGAGUUUCAUCUCACCAGGCUCCCUGCCUUUUUUGAACCUUAUAUAAAUGAAUCACACAUUGGGUUUUUAUUUUAGGCCUGGUUCCUUUCACUCAGGAUUAUGUGCAUGAGAGUCACCAGUGGUGUUUGUACAGCAGUGAUUGAUCGUCCAUCUUCAAUGUUUCACAAUAUUCCAUGUUAUCCUCAGUAAACUGUGGUCUGGAAUCAUCAGAAGGUUAGCAGUAGCCUAACGCUCCGUCACAAUGUCUACGUCGCUCACCUCACUUCAUCUCAUCACGGAGGCGUUUCAUCAUCUCACGUCAUCACAAGAAGCAGGAAAAGAGAAGACAUAUGUGGCAGAAGAUGACCUGGAAAGGCCUCUUUUGCUCGGUUUUACUGAAUCCUGGUAUCACAGGGUUUCUGGCUUGCAUAACUGUGUGGACGAGGCCCUUACUGUGACAGAGAAUGCUGGAAGAAGGACCAGGCUCUGUUUUGAACAUGCUGAACUUCGGAUACCUUUGAGACACCUGAGAGGAUGGUAAACAAACUGUUUGAUAUGUGGGUCUGGGAGUGGUCUGGACUGGAAAUAUGAGUAUAUUUAUUUCAUUAGACCUAGAACCAAACCAAGAGAUAAGAGACAUACCAUUAAGUACCUUUAUGUUCAUAAAGGUGAGCUGAAAACUGUGCAAGAAUUCAGCCCAGAUAACACUGUCCUUGUUUACUGGAUAUUUAUAAUACAAUGAAAAAAAUAACAUGUAUGCCAAUGGGCAACCGCUACAUA
Long non-coding RNA from Manis pentadactyla (Chinese pangolin), 5462 nucleotides. RefSeq lists it as uncharacterized. NCBI's taxonomy places the organism in Eukaryota, Metazoa, Chordata, Mammalia, Pholidota, Manidae. The record is from RefSeq and is a predicted model, not a curated record. The transcript has 4 exons.